UACAUAGGUAUACAUGUGCCAUGUUGGUUUGCUGCACCCAUUAACUCGUCAUUUACAUUAGAUAUUUCUUAAGGGUGGAAUUUUUUAACAAGCAGGCCAGAGUAAGGUUCUGAGAGUAAGAGGCAGAGCCAGCCUCCCUGCUGUCCUGCCUGAGAAGCUGGGGGCUGAGGUCUGAUGGAGGAAGACAGGACAGAGAGGGGCAGGAUGUCCAAGUAUCCUUUUGGAUGUAUCACAGCGAUGCCUGGUACCGGGCAGGGGCAGACCAUUUCUCCAAGGGCUGAUGCUAUUCUGAGAAGGUAUCUUGCCCACCCAACUAUCUCUUGGUCCCAGACUUGUCCAAUUUUCUUCCCAAUAACCAGCAGCCAACACCGUGCCCUCUUUGCAGUGAGACUGUACUGCAGUUGGAGAGAGAGCCCUGUAGGCAAUGCAGAGUAUUCCCAGGGUCACUCCCAAACAUUCAUUCAAGCAUGGCACUAGGCCAGGGCUCUGCAGAGAGAGAUACCCUGAGACUUCUGAUACCCUCUGGGACGAGAGUGACAGAUACCAGUCAAGGAUCUCACCAAUUCAUCUCCCGUGCCCCAAGCAGAUGUAAUUCAUGAUAUUCCUAUGUUCAACUGGGACACAGCCUCAGAAUCCUUCAUACUCCAAUCCAGCAGGCAGCCACGAAUGCCGAGAUCCAGAGCUGAGAUGCAACAUGCUUUCCACAUCUUCCCUGGGGACUUACAGUUUAAAACGGAUUCCCUGACACCAAUAACCAUGCAGCAGAUAUGCAGAUACCUCGAUAAGAAAGGUCUUUGUGAUUUAUAAUAGCAGAUAUAAUCAUUUACCCUGCCUAAAAGCUAAGGGUUUUUACCACACUGUGAGGUUUCGAAGCAGAGUAUCACAUGAUUCGUGUUCCUGAAUUUGACACUGGGGAAUCCUCAUCUGAGUUGAGGAGGAUAUAGCAAUCUUCAUUAGCCACUCUCAGGGGGUCUCUGCCCAGGAUACAGGAUCCGGACAGAGAACAAAGCAAAGAGGACCGAUGUCUCCAUCCUCGGUAGCAUCUCUCCAAUCUGCUCCUACCCCUCUGGCUCUCCUAAGCUCCCCUCAAGUAGGUGAUCAGGUAAAUUAUCCUCUAAACUAGGAAAGGUACUAUUAAUAAUUACAUCACAAUAACAGGUAAACCGGGAGGUGCCUCAGGCAAACAGGAAAGUAGGAUCCCCAUGCCCACAGGCCCUCUACUUUUGUAUGGGGAGGUGCAUCUUGUAUGCCGGAUGUGUGUGUAGGGGUGGGUGUGAUUUGGUGGGUGUGCUAUAGGGUGCUGAGCAAAAGCACAUCCUUCUCCUGCCUAGGGAUCAGUCCCUUCCUCAGCCCUGUGUCCCCUCUGGCUUCGCCUGCCAAGGCUCUAUCAGGUGUGAGAGUACGGAUCGAUGGAGCUCCUGGCUGAGCUGAUGAGGCUCCCAGGGACUAGAGCAAUUAAUUAAACCUCUUCCCAGCUCUCAGCACAAGCCCCGUGCCUCUGCCAGAGCCUUUUAACUGCCACUCGAAUGGGUAGCUCUUAAAAUCAACGUCCUUCUCUUAAAAUCAACAUCUUGCUCAGCAGUGCUAGGAGAGGGAGGCUGGAGAAGGCAUGGAGCUGCCCUGUCCAGCAGUCCCCACCUCCCAUUUGGGGCAGGUCCCAGGAAAUGCUUCCUUCCAAUAGCUUCUUCCCUGCUGUGCCCACUUUGGGAGUUUUUGCAGCUAUGAGAUUGUUGACAAAAUGCAGAUAGCCACACAUGGGAGACGCUUCUGAGAUCUUAGAGCCCAGCUGAAGAUCCCUGAGGGAAAGGGGCUUUCUGGACACCCAGGUUUCCUGGGAGGGGAAGGAUGUUCCAGCUCUGGUCUUGGCCGAUAUCACCAUGGAUGAACGAGACCCAGAUCUAGCUGCUACAGGCGCUGUGGGGCAUGGGACAGAGGACACACACAGCACUGGCUGUGGAGUCCUGUUGUGAGCAUCCCUGUUGAAAGAAGUAGGCAGGAGACUCUCAGGACCAAACAGAUAGAGCCCAAAUAACCUGGAAAUAAAUUGCAUGAAGAGCCCUGGGCCAGGCCUUCAGGAGCCAGGGCCCAGGGGAAUCGGGCUGUCCAGAGCAGCCUCUGUGAGAGCUGCUGGGGAUGCAAUGGUCUUAAAGCUGCCUCUUGACUCUGAGAUUCCAGACUUUGAUUCUGCAAUGGACUCAAACCCAGCAUCCAAUGCGGAACAAUAGCUGUGCUCUUGCCCUCCCUGACCCCACAGAGGGAUGCAGUGGCACAGUUCUGUCCACACAGCCAAUAACGCGAAAAUCACCUCUAUUUGGAAUGCAUUAGGAUUCCAAUUUACAACAAAUUUUCUUUCCUAAACUCGCUUGGCUUUGCAGACAUGUGUCUCUGACAGCAGAACGAGGGCAGGGCCCCUGUGUGCCAGGCCAGAAAGAGGGACCUGGCAAGGAGUCCUGAAUUUUCAGGUGAAAAAUCUGCUUUAGGCAAACUGGGAAUGAAUGCUGAUGUAACUUGGCGUGUAUGUGUGUGCGUGUGCACGUGUGUGAUGAAGGGUCUGUGUGUAUUGCGGGAGGCAGAGAUCCUGGAGACCCUGCCUAGUGACAGUAAUUGUGGGUGAUGAUGUCUGAUAAUCGGAUAAUCAUAUUGAUAACAACCAUCAUCUCCCUCACACUUCUGGUGGCCCAAUGAUUUCACCCAUCACUUUGGUUUGUCUUGUGCUUGGGCAGGUGCACUAGGGCCCCGUCUUACAGAUGAGGAUGCUGAGGACCAGGGAAGCCCAUUAAUAAGGUCCCACUGCUGGUAAGUGACAGACUAGGAUUGGAAGGCUGCUGUCUGUUUUUGGAGGCCCUAUGCUUGAUUGCCCCUGAAUCUGACACACUUGGGUGGAGUUGGGUUAAGCUAGGCCAGCUCCCAGAAGAAGUGGGUCUUAGCCCUGAUGAGGCUAAGGAAGCUGCAGUGAGGGUGGUGUCCCAUGUUCCCUUCACCACCCAGGGCUGUGAAUCAUCGUCCAGGCCUUGGGGAUGCAGGAUGGGUGUUGGAACAUAUGACAGCUUUGCACAUUUAUUUGUGCUCCUGACAACAUGAGCAGAGAAAGCUGCAGGCUAUAGACUUGCAGUCUGAGGGUCUGGGGUAGAUGUCCCAGUACUGCAUCAAUAUGGCAGCUCUGUCUUCAUUAAGGUCCUGGACAGGGGCAAGACCCAGCCUGCUAAGUGCACUGGGCUCUGGGGUCAUGGCUCUCUGCCAGGGCACCUCAGGCCAAGUCAAGGCAUGUGGAGGGUAGACUGGGCUAUGAGCAGCCAUGCCAGGGGCGCCAUCCUUGCUCCCUCUCUUUGAGAACUGCAGAAUUAGCUCCUGGUGGUGGGUGGUUGAGCCCAACUGCCGCCAGCUGGAUAGCAAAAGGGCAGCGGGCAGCUCCGUGGGCACCCCCCUCUUGGUGCGUGCUGAACUGUGGCAAACCCAGGUCUCUCAGGCUGGAGGAGAGCAGGCCUGCCUCCCUGUAAGAGUCCAGGGCAGCAGCUGUGGGACAGGGUGGUGUGAGGGGUUGGGAGGGGAGCUCGUAGAGAGUCAAGGAGGCAAAGGGCUGUGUCAGAUCUUCUGGCCAGAAGUGACAGAAGAUGCACCUCAAAAUGGCUUCAUGAAGACCAAAAGGGUGGGCAUGUCUCUCACUGGUUCCCUUGACUGAAAUACCUAUGCCUGGCCAAACCUGGGGCUCGAUGGUGGAAUCGAGAUUUGGUCUCUGGAUUUCUCAGUUCUGCUUCCUUCUGCACUGGUCUCUGCUCAGGCAGUUGGGGCAAGAUGGUGGCCCACAGCUCCAGCCCUGGGAAAAAAAGUGAGCUUCUCUUCCUCAACCAAUAAAAGCCAAGUUUGUGCCUGACUGAAGCACAUGGGCAUCCAUGAACCGGUCCUGUGCUCUGGGAGUCAGGAGUGGGGUCAGGUUCACAUGGGAUGUGAUGACGAUGAUGUGUCCUAAAGCUCAAGAACAGGAAUGAAGGCUGGGUGGCCCAAGGAACAGUCACCGACCAUGAACAGGAACAGUAUCAAUCUGGAUCGGCCUGAAAAUUCUUGGAUGGAGGUGUGUCCAGGAGAAGAGAGGGAGGGAAGGAGGGAGGAAGGUAUGCGUGUGUGGAUCAGUGAGUACUGCAGGCUCCCUUCAGAGACAGGGAGAAUUUAGCACCGAGCACCAGGGGGCAGCCACAAUGAGCCUGACAGGCCCUGUUCCCAGGAGGGCGUCAGGUGUGCGUCAUGGAGGUGUUGUGCACACCUGAGUGUGUGUGCAGGCGAAAGGGUGAACUUGCUCCCUGGAAACACCACCCCCAGACCUUUCCGAACCCCAUCCACAAUAACCAAUAUUUCUCUAGUGCAGUGGACACAAGGCUUUCCACAUCUCAGUCUCCCUGGGCAGCAAGUGAGGCUGAUACCAUUGGGAUCUCCGUUUUAACAGGUGAGGCAGGGCCGGUCAGCACUCGCUGCAGGUGAGUGGGCUGCCUUGGCUGCCUGGGUUGGAUUCUGGGCUCUGCUAUUUACUAGCUGUGUGACCUUCAGAUCACUUGCUCAACCUCCUUGUGCCUCAGUUUCCCCAUUUGUAAGAGGAGCUGAUAGCACUUUCCACACCAUGUGGUGAGGGUGAGAUAAGUUGGUGUGUGUGACCUGCUGAGAAGGCUGUUUUAUGUGUUGCAGGAAAAGAGACCUGGGCCGCGUAUCAGCCUUUUGGGCUCAAUCUCGUGGCUGAACCACUGCUUUCCACAGUCAGGUGCUGUGCAGCUCUGAAUAGACCUUUCCAGUGGAAGGCUCUAGGGCUCUCCUGUGGAUGUUCCUUCCUGCAACCUGGAGGGCACGCAAGUCAGAGGUCCUUUGGGGCCAGUGGGCCGGUGCUGAGCAGCCCACCCAGAUGCAGUUGAUGCAGUGGAACAUCCUAGAAGACUAGAAGACUACUGCGGCCUAGAAGACUACCGAGAUACUGGAAAGGAGAUGCCUUGUCCCCAAAAGACUGGGAGGAGUGGAACAUCCCAGCUAGCUCACUUUAGGCUAUUACUGCAAGAAAUUAAACCUAUAUAGUGUUAAACCAUAGAAAAUUUGGGGGAUGUUUGUUAUAGCAGCUGGUCUACCCUGGCUAAUACACUGCAUGUGGGGUGUGCUCUAAAAUUUCCAUCUCUUCACCAUACCCCAUAGUCUUUGAAAGAUAUUUGUAGGUCACUGAAGAGGCCAUUCUUUUCCCUUCCCUCCCUCUGUUUCUCUAUUCUCAAUUCUUCCUGUCUAGGAGUUCUGUAGUCACCUCCAAUUGGCCCUUCAGGUUCCCCAAUCCAGAAGCAGUUCCUAGGAAGGCAGCCCCAGGUUAUUGCCAUAUUCAUGGGGUUAUCAGGGUUAUGGCAGGUCCUAGGACAGAGGAAGUCCCUGCCCAUCACUUCCUCCAGGAAGCCUUCCCUGCACUUUUGGGUUACAAAUCAUCCUGUGCAUUCCCAUAGAAUAUUGUCAGUGAUGCCCACAUUCUUUGUGGCCUGCUGUAUGGUAACAUAUACACUCAGUACUCAGUUGUGGUUUACUUGUCUUACUUGUCACUCUUCUGUGGGAUCCUAAAGAAUUCCAUCACUUCUACUGUGAAGCAGCAAGAGCCAGACAUGCAGAUACCCACUGUGGGAGGCAGCUUCUGAUAUGGCCUCCGAAGAAGUACCCUCCUGAGAUUCAUGCCCUUGUGUCAUCCUCUCUCCUCCAGUGCGAUCCAGACCCACUGAGUUGCUUCUAGUGAACUGAAUACAGCAACAGUUCUAGGAGAUUAGGCUUUAAAAGACUGGGUUAUAUUCUCUCUUUCAGGCACUCUGUCUCUCAUUCUCCCUCUUGCUUGAUCAAGAUAUGCUCUUUGAUGAAGUAAGUUGCCACGUUGGAGAGGCCCAUGUGGUAAGGAACUGAGGGUGGCUUCUGACCACCAACCAGUAAGGAAAUAAAAGUCCUGAGUCCAACAACCCAUAAGGAAUGGAAUCCAGCCAACGAUCACAUAAUGAGGUUUGAAGUGGAUUGGCUCCAGUUGAGCCUUCAGAUGAGACCUCAGCCUCAGUUCACACCUUGAUUCCAGCCUUGUGAGAAACCCUGGCCAGAAGACCCACAAUAGAAAACUAAUAAACCAAUGAAGAAUAUUUUAAUGAAGGAAGGAAAAUUGGUCCUCAUUCAAGCAGUAAGGCGCUGUGGGAGAUAAGGAGCAGGCAGCUCGUGCCCUGCAGGCUGUGCAGGAGGCAGUUCCAUUGAGGGUCGCAUGGAGGGGCAGAGUUGGGUGCCACCUAGUUCACGAGGCCGCCUGAGGAGUCAGAGCUCCCCACACCGUCCCAGAUGCUGCUACUGAGUAGAACUCUGGGGUUCAAGCCCUGCUGGUCCCACACCAGGGCAAAAACAAAAUAUAAAGUAAAACAAAAUAAAGUAAAAUAAAAGCAAACAGAAAAAGUACUCCUGUGUG
Macaca mulatta (Rhesus monkey) is the source of this 6439-nucleotide long non-coding RNA. RefSeq lists it as uncharacterized. Lineage: Eukaryota; Metazoa; Chordata; Mammalia; Primates; Cercopithecidae. The record is from RefSeq and is a predicted model, not a curated record.